AGAGUUUGAUCCUGGCUCAGGAUGAACGUUGGCGGUGUGCCUAAUACAUGCAUGUCGAACGAAGAUGAUAGCAAUAUUGUCUUAGUGGCGAACGGGUGAGUAACGCGUUGGUGACCUGCCCCGAAGUGUGGAAUAACAAUUCGAAAGAAUUGCUAAUACCGCAUGUGAUCUUGGAGAUUAGAACCUCUUUGAUUAAAGGAUUUAUUCGCUUCGGGAGGGGCCUGCGUCCCAUCAGCUAGUUGGUAGGGUAAUGGCCUACCAAGGCUUUGACGGGUAGGGGACCUGAGAGGGUGGCCCCCCACAAUGGAACUGAAACACGGUCCAUACACCUACGGGUGGCAGCAGUAGGGAAUAUUAGUAAUGGGCGAAAGCCUGAACUAGCAACACCGCGUGUGCGAUGAAGGCCUUCGGGUUGUAAAGCACUUUUCGGGAGGAUGAGGAAGGACGGUACUCCCGGAAUAAGUCUCGGCUAACUACGUGCCAGCAGCCGCGGUAAAACGUAGGAGGCGAACGUUAUCCGGAUUUACUGGGCGUAAAGCGCGUGUAGGUGGUUUGGUAAGUAGGGCGUGAAAGCUCCUGGCUCAACUGGGAGAGGUCGUUCUAAACUGCCGAACUAGAGGAUGGUAGAGGGAGGUGGAAUUCCGG
RNAcentral lists this ribosomal RNA (645 nucleotides) under uncultured bacterium. RNAcentral's name for it is "bacterial SSU rRNA". It matches the Rfam family "Bacterial small subunit ribosomal RNA", at positions 8 to 672 of the family's 1533-position model. The record is from RNAcentral.